RNAcentral lists this ribosomal RNA (456 nucleotides) under Clostridioides difficile. Its description in RNAcentral is "partial 23S ribosomal RNA". It matches the Rfam family "Bacterial large subunit ribosomal RNA", at positions 1769 to 2224 of the family's 2925-position model. The record is from RNAcentral. Lineage: Bacteria; Bacillati; Bacillota; Clostridia; Peptostreptococcales; Peptostreptococcaceae.
UCAGGUGGCCGCAGAGAAUAGGCCCAAGCGACUGUUUACCAAAAACAUAGGUUUCUGCUAAGUCGCAAGACGAUGUAUAGGAGCUGACGCCUGCCCGGUGCUGGAAGGUUAAGGGGAUCUGUUAGAGUAAUCGAAGCAGUGAACUUAAGCCCCAGUAAACGGCGGCCGUAACUAUAACGGUCCUAAGGUAGCGAAAUUCCUUGUCGGGUAAGUUCCGACCCGCACGAAAGGCGUAACGAUUUGGGCACUGUCUCAACAACAGACUCGGUGAAAUUGUAAUUCCGGUGAAGAUGCCGGAUACCUGCGACAGGACGGAAAGACCCCAUGGAGCUUUACUGUAGCUUGACAUUGGGUCUUGGUACUACAUGUACAGGAUAGGUGGGAGGCUUUGAAACCAGGACGCCAGUUUUGGCGGAGCCAUCCUUGGGAUACCACCCUUGUAGUACUGGGACUCUA